UCGAACGGAAAGGCCGGGUGCUUGCACCUGGUACUCGAGUGGCGAACGGGUGAGUAACACGUGGGUGAUCUGCCCUGCACUUCGGGAUAAGCCUGGGAAACUGGGUCUAAUACCGGAUAGGACCACUGGUUGGUACUGGUGGUGGAAAGUUUUUCGGUGCAGGAUGAGCUCGCGGCCUAUCAGCUUGUUGGUGGGGUAAUGGCCUACCAAGGCGGCGACGGGUAGCCGGCCUGAGAGGGUGGACGGCCACAUUGGGACUGAGACACGGCCCAGACUCCUACGGGAGGCAGCAGUGGGGAAUAUUGCACAAUGGGCGCAAGCCUGAUGCAGCGACGCCGCGUGGGGGAUGACGGCCUUCGGGUUGUAAACUCCUUUCAACCAUGACGAAGCUUUUGUGACGGUAGUGGUAGAAGAAGCACCGGCUAACUACGUG
RNAcentral lists this ribosomal RNA (433 nucleotides) under uncultured bacterium. Its description in RNAcentral is "bacterial SSU rRNA". It matches the Rfam family "Bacterial small subunit ribosomal RNA", at positions 62 to 507 of the family's 1533-position model. The record is from RNAcentral.